UCAAGACCCCUGACUGUCAUCAAGACCCCUGACUGUCUUCAAGACCCCUGACUGUCUUCAAGACCCCUGACUGUCUUCAAGACCCACCUGAUGCACCACCAGACCUGGUCACUGACCGGACCACGGGGGGCCAUUGACCCCCUCAACCCCCUCCAGAUAUAUCAUCAACACAAGAAAUGUUGCAGACCUGAUCCACACACAGCUUUAAGAAGAGGUACAAUAAGACCCCUGGAAGCCAUAAUCUAACCCAUGAAAAGCGAGGCCAGGAGCUAGGACUCAACUGUGAACGUAUACGUACCGUACCUGUCCAGUAUGUGUCCGAUCUCCACACUAGAAAUUUAACAGCAAAAUGUUAAAUUAUACCAGAAAUAGCUUUAUAUAGUGUAAAAACACAUUAUCAUCAGCAUUAUCGUAAUAUUCUCCAACCCCCUGAGCGUUUAGCGCUUCCCUGUCGGUAUAAUACCAGAGUAAAAAUAGAAUAAUAUUAAUAAUGCUGGAUGUCAGUGGCAAUAAUUACCCGAGUGUAUAUAAGGGUGAGACGCGGCUGUGUUAAGGCCAGUGUGGUCACGACCUUCAGAGGGGGAGGACGUGCGCUGCUGCUGCUGCUUGUCUGUCUUAUCCUAACCUAACUAUUACUGCACCCUUUAGUGGAUCAAGAUGGAUGCUCGCCGGAGGAACUUUAUAAGGAACCAUUGUACUGUAAAGAGGAAUAUAGGAGAAUUAACAAUCUAUGAGAUAAAUACCAAGGUUGUUUACAGAGAUAAAGACAACAAGAUACAAGUGGUGAGCAUUGGACCUGCGAAUGAGGUACCCAUCAAGGCAGUGCUCCUGUUAGGAGAGACAGGUGCUGGCAAAACGCAUGCCAUCAACACCAUGAUCAACUAUCUACUACAUGUCCGCUUUGAAGAUGACUUUAGAUUCCAGUUGAAAGAUUAUGUCUCAAGUGAUAAUCUUCGGCAAAUCGACAGUCAGACAGAAUAUAUCACUGCUUAUAUAAUAUCACGUCACCUGGGAGUGCCUUUCGACUGUAACUAUGCGUUGAUAGAUUCUCCUGGGUUUGGUGACACCAGAGAAAACCAUGAGAGAGCCACUAUAGAGAGACUCACUCAUUUUCUCACAACUGAUUAUGGAAUAGAUUACCUUGAUUGUGUUGGUUUAGUAGCAAAGUCAAAUCAAAACAGGAUAUCAAAUCAUCAGUUGCAAAUGCUAAAAGAGUUCACCUCUGUUCUAGGAAGUGAUAUUGGUGUUAUAACACAGCUUCUGGCAACACAUGCUUCAGAUGGGUUGCCUCUGGUUCUUGAUGUGGUUAAAAAUGCCAAAGUUCAAUUUCAAAAUUGGUAUGCAUUCGACAACUGGCCUUUGUACAUUUCAAAAGAUGAUAAUGUCCAUCAGGAAGGAUAUCUUGAGUAUAGAUGGAGAAAAAUGCAAGAAGAGCAGGGCAGAUUUUUUAAAGACUUACAAAAUGUGCAUCAAAUAAGCCUCAAGAGAACAAGGGAACUUCUACAGGAAAAACAAUCUUUUGAAAAAACAAAAUCUACUCUUAUGAACAAUAUAAAGAUGAGUGUUGUACUGAAAAAUAAAAUUGUCUAUCUAAAUAAAAAUCUCAAGAAAAGUACAGAACUGGUAAAUAAUCUUGAGGAAGUAUCAUGGGUAAAGUGUACAAUACCUAGAGGAUAUCAUGUCCACAACUGUGAUAUCUGCCAGAAAACUUGUAGAGAAAUGUGUGAAAACCCAAAGAAUAUUGCUGCUGCAUUUGCUGGAACUGGUGCUGGGGUUGGCACUGCAACUGUUGCAGGACUUGCAAGUGCAGGAAUUGCUGGAGGAGUGGGAGGGGCUGAGGUGGGUGCUUUGGGUGGUCCCGUAGGAGCCAUAAUUGGUUUAUCCAUUGGUGCUGGCAUAGGUUUAAUUUCUGGAUUAAGCACUGGACUUGCGAUAAGAAAAGCAACAAAAAACUGUCUGGCUCAUUCACGUGAGGUUUGUCAUAAGAAUGGCUGUCGUCAUGAACUGAAAGACCACGUAGUUGACACAGAAUAUGUGUGGAGAAUAAAAAUUGACCCUAGCAAAAUCGACACCUAUUUUUUAGUACUGGAGGAAAGUUCACAGCUCAAGAAACAAAUUACAGAUAAUGAAAAGACUUUGAAAGAUCUGCAAGAAAAGAGGAAUAUUCUGGCUGAAGAUUUUAUGAAACACAUUGAGAAAAUAAAUGAACUGGGCACCGAACAAACAAACCCAGAUUUAAUAAUAAGUGAAAUAAUCUUGGGUGAGAGAGAGAAUUUCCAGCAUGUUGAACUCCUGAAGGAGUUUAACAAAAAGUUGUCUGAUGACUAUACUGCUGGAAAACGAGAGUAAUACUAAUGAUACAGUCUGGAGUGCUGAUGAACACUGAUAACUACCCUGAACCACAGGCUGAGGAACAAUGGUACAAGCGUGGUACAUGGACGACAGCCCCGAGGACCAGAGACUGGAGCACCACCAGUCGCCCCCGAAAUUCGUCUCUCUGGAUGAACUGUACAGUGAGACGGGAGUAAUGUACUGGAAGAUCAAAAACUUUUUUGAGGAGCACAUACACAUAGACGAGGAGAUCAGGUUUGUAACGGAAGGUUCGGGCUACUUCGACGUGCGUGACAAGGAAGACAAGUGGAUCAGGAUCGAGGUGGUGCCUGGGGACUUGCUCAUCC
RNA transcript from Cherax quadricarinatus, 2678 nucleotides. It is a transcript of the gene named acireductone dioxygenase 1, with no coding region annotated. The record is from RefSeq and is a predicted model, not a curated record. NCBI's taxonomy places the organism in Eukaryota, Metazoa, Arthropoda, Malacostraca, Decapoda, Parastacidae.